Molecule: ribosomal RNA, 470 nt
Filed under: uncultured bacterium
Lineage: Bacteria
Description: bacterial SSU rRNA
Rfam family: Bacterial small subunit ribosomal RNA
Source: RNAcentral
AGGACGAACGCUGGCGGCGUGCUCAUACAUGCAAGUCGAACGAGAAUCUGACUUCGGUCAGAGGAAAGUGGCGGACGGGUGAGUAAUGUGUAGAGAAUCUGCCCUUUAGUGGGGGACAACAGUUGGAAACGACUGCUAAUACCCCAUAUGCGCGUAGUUGAGAUGCUAUUCGUGAAAACUCCGGUGCUAAAGGAUGAGUCUGCAUCUGAUUAGCUAGUUGGCGGUGUAAUGGACCACCAAGGCGACGAUCAGUAGCUGGUUUGAGAGGAUGAUCAGCCACAAUGGGACUGAGACACGGCCCAUACUCCUACGGGAGGCAGCAGUAGGGAAUUUUGCGCAAUGGGGGAAACCCUGACGCAGCAACGCCGCGUGAUUGAAUAAGCCCUUCGGGGUGUAAAGAUCUGUCAGUGGGGACGAAACUUGACGGUACCCACAGAGGAAGCAUCGGCUAACUCCGUGCCAGCCGCGGC